Molecule: long non-coding RNA, 1312 nt
Organism: Carcharodon carcharias (great white shark)
Lineage: Eukaryota; Metazoa; Chordata; Chondrichthyes; Lamniformes; Lamnidae
Exons: 2
Source: RefSeq, a predicted model, not a curated record
UUCACAGUAACUGAGCAAACUGGAGUCCAGAAGAAGGCUGUGAGACCACACAUCAGUCUGCCAUUAUUUAUUCUUGUCAAGGAAUCUUGCAAACAUUAUAGUGUUAUUUUUACAAUGUCUACAUCCUCAAAGUAUGGCUAAACUAUAGCAACCACCAAAGGAUUGUCAAGAAAGAUCUGAAAGGCUCACAGAAGCAAAAAGAAACUUGGAGUUCAAGUCCAGGGAUUGAAAGAACACCACUGAGGUACUACGCCACCGGCUGAAGUCUAACUUGGUCAAAGGAAAGGGAUGUAAAGUUCGGCAAAAUCAUUCUAGGAUACAGAGUAUUUACCCUGGAAUCCCAAAUGUCUGGUGAUCGAUCAGCUCCAUUGUAUUCUACUGGAGAAGGUGUAACAUUUCAAUGGGCGAUGAUGGGUGCAAGAGGACAAUUGGUGAGGAGGAGUUAUUGCUGUGGUCACUGAACAGCAUUCUCAUAUAGUCUCAAACUAUAGUCUGUGACCAAGUGGCAGGAGGGCUUGGCCUAGGUUGCCAGAUUCUCCCACAAAGUUUACCCAGAAUUACCACAAACUCAGGCAAGAUUCUGGACUAGCGGGGUGUCAGCAAUAAGCAGCAGAUGUUAGCUUUUGGUACCCUUCUCCUCAACCUUUGAAGCUUCUGGAGGAGCAUGAAUCAGAUAACGCUAAUAUGUGAUCUAGGAACUUCACAUCCACAUGUAUGAGCUUCACUUAUAUAACAUGCUGGAACAAGCAAUUGGUAAGGGAGGGGUUAAUUCUACUCAAUCUGCUUAGAACUCUGGUACAAAAUCAGUAAGUUUUCAUCAGCUGCGCCAGAAUUCACUGUGUCAUCUAAGACCUUCUCUGUGACUAUCUGGGGUCAAUACCCCCUUCACUUGUAGUUGACAGCCUCCUCAUUCACAUUCUUUUCUGGCACAUCCUUAGACAAAUGGAUCCAUUGAAAAGCCAGGCACCCAGUCUUCCUUGCAUCUGAAAAAGAGAAAACAGAACUGAAUUAAUGCUUAACUGUGUAAAUAUAUCCAAUAGGAUAUUUUUUGCACUGGAACACGGGAACAUAGGAGCAGGAGUAGGCCAUUUGGCCCUUUGAGCCUGCUCUGCCAUUCAAUAUGAUCAUGGCUGAUCUGGAGAAAGCUAUGGCAAAGAUUGGGCUGAACUAUAAGUGAUGCUUUUGUACAUGUUGCUUGUUUAUUUUGAAUGAAGCAUCUGAUUGUAAUGAAGGUUAACUACCAUUAAACAUUUACAGAAUAAUAGUUGUUCUAAUAUUUUCUAUUUAUUACAAUAAAGGUGCUUAUCCCUUU